RNAcentral lists this ribosomal RNA (433 nucleotides) under uncultured bacterium. Its description in RNAcentral is "partial 16S ribosomal RNA". It matches the Rfam family "Bacterial small subunit ribosomal RNA", at positions 29 to 507 of the family's 1533-position model. The record is from RNAcentral.
AAUGAACGCUGGCGGCAUGCCUAAUACAUGCAAGUCGAACGAAGCGUCCGGGCACUGUGGCGUCUGGGUGUGUAACGCGAGGGAAUCUGCCCUCGUGGUUGGAAUAACUCUCCGAAAGGCGUACCAAUACCGGACGAUGACGAAAGCCCCAUGAUUUAUCGCCCAAGGAUGAUCCCGCGUAGGAUUAGAUAGUUGGUGGGGUAAUGGCCCACCAAGGGGACCAUCCUUAGCUGGUUUGAGAGUAUGAUCAGCCACACUGAGACUGAGACACGGCCCGGACUCCUACGGGAGGCAGCAGUGGGGAAUAUUGGACCAUCGGCGAAAGCCUGAUCCAGCACUGCCGCGUAAGUGAUGAAGGCCUUAGGGUUGUAAAGCUCUAUUACCCGGGAUGAUAAUGACAGUACCGAGAGAGUAAGCCCCGGCUAACUCCGUG